GAAAGUCUUAAGUGUGUAUUGGCUGAAGGGCUGGAGAAAAUGCUCGGAAGCAAUGAAAGAGCUACAGGACAGCAAAGGACUCUGGGUGGCAGGUGGUCCCAACAGGAGACCAGUGAUGGGAACCAGCGCAAGGGUGUGGCCCAAGGAGAAAAGAGUGGAAGCUCAUGCCUGGGGGCUUCUAUUUCCUCACUGAAAUGCAGAGGCUCACUGAGUGUGCAGAGUUGCAUGAUUUGGGCCAUCGCACCUGUGCCGACCUGCUCUCUGCAGACUGGGACUUUCUUUCCCUGGUGCUGCCUGCCAUAACAGCUCAAUUCUGCAUAUCAGAUUCGCCAGUGCUACUCCACAGAGGGCUGCCUGUGAGCCCACACCAGGCAAAUACUGGAAAGGCUGCCACACUCAAUUUCCUGCUAGCAAGUAGGGUGAGGCCUUGUACCUCCACCCUAUCAUCACCUGAGGCUGGGUCUUUCUCCUGGAUCCUCUGUAAGCUCCCUCCAUGAACUGGGUUUGCUCUGCACCUUAAGCCUUACUAGCAUUAAAUUUUUAGUUACAAAACUGAUUCUUUCCCAAUCACCACUCUAGAUUUCCUCAACAUCCAACAAUGGUACAUAACAUAAUUCCUCCUACCUAGUUUCUAGUGUUGACUCUACAUUUCCCCCAAAGUUAAUAUUUACUGACAGUUGGAAAUUCAAACUGUAUGCACUUUUGGUUUGACCUGAAUGAAUAGUUUUGAUCUGAGUUCAAUAUCCUGGCUAAUGUGGUCUCCCCU
RNAcentral lists this long non-coding RNA (766 nucleotides) under Fukomys damarensis (Damara mole-rat). Its description in RNAcentral is "lncRNA (ENSFDAG00000031579.1)". The record is from RNAcentral. Lineage: Eukaryota; Metazoa; Chordata; Mammalia; Rodentia; Bathyergidae.